UCACCUCCUAAAGCUAAAUCAUAACAAUUUCAGACUUAACUUGGCAAUAUGAGGAAUAGUAGUCUAGUUAAUUAGUUCAAUCUAUUUUUAUCUUUAAUAAUUAUCGCAAGUCUCAUUAAAUCUCUCAUAGAUUGGCAAAAAAAUAUGGGUUAAAUCACAUCGCAAUUAUAUUAAUCCUAGUCAAUUACAAUAAGUGUCAUUAAAUGAGCAAUAAAAUUAAAUUGUUGGAAGUAUAUUGAUAACAUGUUUUUGACAUUAAAUAAAAGAUGACUUUGCGGAAAUGUGGAAGUACUGCUAUUUUUGAUAGAAACAAUUAGAUUUGGAAUUCCAGAAAAUAAAUUGAUAUUUGUAGUUAUGAAUGGUGAAAAGUUAUGACAUACAAUGUAAGAUGUAAACUUUAAUCACAAUCACAAACGUGAAAGAUUAAUUUUCUUCAAAAUUUCACGCACACAUACCGCUAUGAUUCGACAACAAUGCAAAAAGAGCAACAAUUUUCGGCAAUAAAUUACUUAAGUCGCUUACGUUUAAUAAAUUGCCAGCUUGGUACGCCGAAAAGGAAAACAACAUUCACAAGAUUAAUAAGCGAGAUAAAUUUAAUCACAAAUUAAAAUUAUUUAUGAGAAUGGAAUUUCAUUUUUAAUCUGUCGUUGGCGGAAGAAGGAAUUUUGGUGCUGGGUCAUUUUUAAUUAGAGAUCGAGUUGGCCAACUUCGGAAAUGUGUCCGUGAUCCGUCAGCGUUAACAAAGCAAUUAAGUAAAUUAGAGGAGUACUAAAGGAUAAAUUACAAUAAUCUUCGGAAGAAUGCCAAGAUACACCUUCGAAUGACCCGUCAAUUAAAUACGAUUUACAUCGACGUGUACAUCAGCGAUGCAUCUAAUUGGUGAAUGUGUAUUUGCGUUUUUUCAGCACUCGAUCAACGUAUUAUUAGGUUGGAAAGGUAUACAAAAAAUUAUAAUGUAUGCAAAUUAA
This is a long non-coding RNA of Aethina tumida (small hive beetle), 968 nucleotides long. RefSeq lists it as uncharacterized. Lineage: Eukaryota; Metazoa; Arthropoda; Insecta; Coleoptera; Nitidulidae. The record is from RefSeq and is a predicted model, not a curated record. The transcript is spliced from 3 exons.